This 202-nucleotide long non-coding RNA is filed under the name Elaeis guineensis (African oil palm). Its description in RNAcentral is "long non-coding RNA (EGUI_LNC051676)". The record is from RNAcentral. Lineage: Eukaryota; Viridiplantae; Streptophyta; Magnoliopsida; Arecales; Arecaceae.
GAGGAAGAAAGGGCCACAUAUAAGAUGUGAAAAGAUGACAGUGCGACUGUCAAAUGCAUCAUGCUUGCCUCAAUGAGCAAUGAGCUUCAGAGAUAGCAUGAGGACAUAGAUGUUCUCUCUAUGCUCCUUAAUCUUAAGGAGUUAAAUAGAAAAUAAAGUCGAACUACUAAAUAUGAGAUAUCUAAGUAGUUAUUCCAUGCCC